Molecule: unclassified non-coding RNA, 200 nt
Filed under: soil metagenome
Description: partial contains internal transcribed spacer 2 and large subunit ribosomal RNA
Source: RNAcentral
AUUAUCACGAAUCAAGCCUGGCUUGCUGUUGGACCUCUUGUCGUUGAAAGACAGGCCCUAAAGAUAAUGACGGUGUCAGUUGGACCCUAGAUGCAACGAGCUUUAACUAGCACGCAUGUUAGUGGCCUUCUGACCCGGUCUUUUAUAACCCAUUUCUUAAGGUUGACCUCGGAUCAGGUAGGAAUACCCGCUGAACUUAA